GCCUCCAAACGCCUCGAAUCUAGCCAUAAAUAAUUUAUUUUAGUCAAUAAAAUUCAUUGGAAUUAAUUCCAUAAGAAAAUGCUAAUUUUCCAUAAAAAUCCGAAUUUUAGCUCAAAAAUCGCCCUUGGGGCCCACGUCUCGGAACCCGACAAAAGUUAUAAAAUAUGAACCCCUAUUCCACCACGAGUCUAACUAUACCAAAAUUACUAAAUUCCGAUAAUAAUUCGGCCCUCAAAUCCUCAAAUUUAUCCAAGACGGUUUUCAAAUAUUUUUCAACUUAAUUCACCAAUUAAAUGAUAAAAACAACCAUGGAUUCGGGUAAUUUAACCAAUAAUGAGUUAAGAACACUUACCCCGUUGUUUUCUCUGAAAAUCUCCCAAUAAUCGCCUCAAUCCGAGCUCCAAAUCGUUAAAAAUGGAUUUUCUAAACUUAAACUUUCUGUCCAGACCUCUCUUCUUCGCGAACGCGACAGGUCCCUCGCGUUCGCGAAGCACAAAAUGUGCUGCCCAACGUUUGCUCUUUGCAAACGCGAUACACUGCUCGCGAACGCAAUAUUUUACGGAGCUCUUCUUCGCGAGCACGAGCUCCUCUUCGCGAACACGAGCUCCCCUUCACGAACGCGAUACCCAAACACGAAUGCGAUGCACAACCCAGUUUCUCUUCGAGAACGUGAGUCA
Molecule: long non-coding RNA, 677 nt
Filed under: Nicotiana tabacum (common tobacco)
Lineage: Eukaryota; Viridiplantae; Streptophyta; Magnoliopsida; Solanales; Solanaceae
Description: long non-coding RNA (NTAB_LNC009100)
Source: RNAcentral